Long non-coding RNA from Camelina sativa (false flax), 650 nucleotides. RefSeq lists it as uncharacterized. The record is from RefSeq and is a predicted model, not a curated record. NCBI's taxonomy places the organism in Eukaryota, Viridiplantae, Streptophyta, Magnoliopsida, Brassicales, Brassicaceae.
AUCGUACCGGAGCGUUCUAAAACCGGUUGACCCAAGCUAUAUGGUUUUAAUUAAACGGGUCGGGUUUGCCCAUCUUCUCAUUCAAUCGCCGUCCGGAUCUCCAAGCCUUGUCUGACUCUCUCCGACGUCUCCGAUCAAUGAAGGUGAGGAAGAAGAAGAUCUUUUGAGUUAAGCAUUCGAGAGAAACCCCCAGCUUCAAUCUCAUGGAGUUGAUCCUCUCAUAAAGAUGAUCCUUAAGAAUGGAUGAUCAGUCAUGAUCUUCAAAGUCUUGACAGGCAGUAUGUUUGAUCAGAUGCAUCCAGCCAAAGCCAGCUCAGUGGCAUAGUGUUGCAGUGCACAACCAAGUGUUUGGCUCUUGGCGCGUGUUAACAAACUCGCAUUUGUAGAUAUAAAGACCAGACCAGUAGACAAAGCAUCCAUUGCAGCUCAUCGGUUUAUGUUGAGGGGGAUAUAUAGACUAGACCAGCAGUGAAGUGAAGACUGUUCUUGUGUUCAUAUAGUGAUGGUAUGCAGAAUACAUAUGUCCCUUUUUUACUCUCUUCUGAGUAUAUUGUUUAAUCUAUGAUCAUCUGUUUGUUAUUGACUUAUGCUCUGGUUAUGUUAAAAGUUUAUGUUCCAUUGAAUAGAUUGUGACUUUGUGUUAUUGUGUA